UUGGGAAUCUUGCACAAUGGGGGAAACCCUGAUGCAGCGACGCCGCGUGGAGGACGAAGGGUCUAGGCCUGUAAACUCCUUUUCUCGGGAAAGACUUAGGACGGUACCCGAGGAAUAAGCACCGGCUAACUACGUGCCAGCAGCCGCGGUAAGACGUAGGGUGCAAGCGUUGUCCGGAUUUACUGGGCGUAAAGAGCGCGUAGGCGGUCUGUUAAGUGAGAAGUGAAAGCUCCGGGCUCAACUCGGAAAUGGCUUUUCAUACUGGCAGACUGGAGUGAUGCAGAGGUUUGUGGAAUUCCUGGUGUAGCGGUGAAAUGCGUUGAUAUCAGGAGGAACACCCAUGGCGAAGGCAGCAAACUGGGCAUUAACUGACGCUGAGGCGCGAAAGCGUGGGUAGCAAACAGGAUUAGAUACCCUGGUAGUCCACGCCCUAAACGAUGGAUACUAGGCGUUGGAGGUAUCGACCCCUCCAGUGCCGCAGCUAACGCACUAAGUAUCCCGCCG
This 504-nucleotide ribosomal RNA is filed under the name uncultured bacterium. RNAcentral describes it as "bacterial SSU rRNA". It matches the Rfam family "Bacterial small subunit ribosomal RNA", at positions 355 to 873 of the family's 1533-position model. The record is from RNAcentral.